This is a long non-coding RNA of Gossypium arboreum, 1127 nucleotides long. RefSeq lists it as uncharacterized. Lineage: Eukaryota; Viridiplantae; Streptophyta; Magnoliopsida; Malvales; Malvaceae. The record is from RefSeq and is a predicted model, not a curated record. The transcript has 3 exons.
AGCCACCCACUUAUACCAAAAGAAAUUUCAGCCCUAAAAACAAUCCUUUACUUAACUGCCGAACCACCAUGAUUUUGGUGAUCACCAGUAAGCAAGCAACGCCCAAUCUUGCUGUUAAAGAUGUAACAGCCCGAUUUUGGGCCUAGUCGGAACAGUGGUUUCGAGACCACUAUUCUGAGGCCAUAGAAAAUUAUUUUAGUAUUAUUUUAUGUGUUAUAAUAUGAUUUUAUAAGUGCAUGUUAAUUUUGGUAUAUUAAUUUUAGCGAUUUCUAGUCCAAUUUCGAAAAAGGACUAAAUCUCGUAAAAAGUAAAAGUUGUGUUUUAAUACCUAAAGGUGUUAAAUUGCCUUGUAUCUUAAAUUGGGGGUCUUUAAAGUGAAAUUAAGCCAUUGAAAGUGUGAUGGCCGGCCAUGGGAGAUAAAAUAGUUGAAAAGUCAAAAUUGAACAAAAUAGUUUUAUUAUUAACAAAUAAAAAAAAAGAGAAAAAGAAAAAGCUAUCAUUUUUCUCUUCCCCUUCACCAAAAUAUGCAGCAAAGAAAGGGUUUUGAAGCUGGAAAAUUUCAGCAACAUAUUUCCCUUGCUUAUGAUGAAAAUUGAGAUUUGGACCUAGAACGGAAAGAAAUCGAUUUAUGGACGAGUAUGUCUUUUCACCUUUGUGGUGUCGAGAGUUUCCAGGUUAGCUCGGGUUGGAGGCCGUCCGAGAUAUUAUCACCCUAUCGAGUUAACGUUAUCGGAGUAAGUAAACUCAAGUGAUUCGAGUCUAUGGCAUGUAUAGGGUUUUAAUGUGAUUAUGUAAUAUUAUGAUCUAGCCAAAGGCAUUGGCUUGUUAUUAAGGUAGUAUUAGUUAUGUAAAUUGGCCUAUGUCGGCUAAUAUCGUUAUGGGCCCAUAUGAUUAUUCUUAUGCAUUUAUGUUAUUAUUUCUUGUGAUGUGACUUACAACAUGUAUGCCUAGAGAUUGAAUUGAGAUUCAUUGAUGAGCUAGUAACUAAUGCAGGAUUAAGUGAUUGGUAAAUAGUUAAUAAUGCUUCAUGAAUGGUUUGUGAUGUAAUGAUAGUUAUGUCUAGUAUGUGGUAAUGGUAUGGGCAAAUUCUAUAAUAUUUAUUGCAUAAGAAAAUAACUUGAGCAUAA